GAGCUUCAGCAGCACAUAUACUAAAAUUGGAAGGAUACAGAGAUUAAGUAUGGCCUCCUGGGCAAGGACGACACACAAAUCCCUGAAGCAUUCCAUACCUUU
Callithrix jacchus (white-tufted-ear marmoset) is the source of this 102-nucleotide small nuclear RNA. The record is from Ensembl. NCBI's taxonomy places the organism in Eukaryota, Metazoa, Chordata, Mammalia, Primates, Cebidae.